RNAcentral lists this ribosomal RNA (498 nucleotides) under uncultured bacterium. RNAcentral's name for it is "partial 16S ribosomal RNA". It matches the Rfam family "Bacterial small subunit ribosomal RNA", at positions 29 to 523 of the family's 1533-position model. The record is from RNAcentral.
AUUGAACGCUGGCGGCAUGCCUUACACAUGCAAGUCGAACGGUAACGCGGGGCAACCUGGCGACGAGUGGCGAACGGGUGAGUAAUGUAUCGGAACGUGCCCAGUUGUGGGGGAUAACUGCUCGAAAGAGCAGCUAAUACCGCAUACGACCUGAGGGUGAAGGCGGGGGAUCGCAAGACCUCGCGCAAUUGGAGCGGCCGAUAUCAGAUUAGGUAGUUGGUGGGGUAAAGGCUCACCAAGCCGACGAUCUGUAGCUGGUCUGAGAGGACGACCAGCCACACUGGGACUGAGACACGGCCCAGACUCCUACGGGAGGCAGCAGUGGGGAAUUUUGGACAAUGGACGCAAGUCUGAUCCAGCAAUGCCGCGUGCAGGAAGAAGGCCUUCGGGUUGUAAACUGCUUUUGUCAGGGAAGAAAUCUUCUGGGCUAAUACCCCGGGAGGAUGACGGUACCUGAAGAAUAAGCACCGGCUAACUACGUGCCAGCCGCCGCCGUAA